GUUAGGAUGGCGGAUAAUUUUUUGCAAGCUUGGCGCUACACUCCUAAUCCCCUCAGUGAUCAAUCACAUGAGAUUAUUUGCCGGCUGCUGAUUGAUGGACUCGUCCGCCGAAUAGCGUUCUAAAAUGCAACAAUGACUGAAGUAUUUUUCAUAUAGAAUGAGCCACUAACUCAGAAGGUAAUGUCGUGAUGACAGUUUCAGGCCAUUGCAACUCUCCUUUUUCACCUCUUUCUCCCUUCGGGAGGUCCUCUCCCGACUCAAAGCAAAUGAGAUUGAUAAUGUGCAAGUUGAAAUGGACUCAAG
Molecule: long non-coding RNA, 303 nt
Filed under: Gossypium barbadense (sea-island cotton)
Lineage: Eukaryota; Viridiplantae; Streptophyta; Magnoliopsida; Malvales; Malvaceae
Description: long non-coding RNA (GBAR_LNC013264)
Source: RNAcentral